This 481-nucleotide ribosomal RNA is filed under the name uncultured bacterium. Its description in RNAcentral is "bacterial SSU rRNA". It matches the Rfam family "Bacterial small subunit ribosomal RNA", at positions 28 to 507 of the family's 1533-position model. The record is from RNAcentral.
GAUGAACGCUGGCGGCGUGCAUAACACAUUCAAGUCGAACGGAGUUAUGAGGAUUAAUCCUUCGGGAAGCGUCCAAGUAACUUAGUGGCGGACGGGUGAGUAACGCGUGAGCAACCUGCCUCUGCAUGGGGGAUAACGUUUGGAAACGGACGCUAAUACCUCAUAACACAAGGACACCGCAUGAUGACCUUGUCAAAGAUUUAUUGUGCAGAGAUGGGCUCGCGUCUGAUUAGGUAGUUGGUGAGGUAACGGCCCACCAAGCCGACGAUCAGUAGCCGGACUGAGAGGUUGAACGGCCACAUUGGAACUGAGAUACGGUCCAGACUCCUACGGGAGGCAGCGGUGGGGAAUAUUGGGCAAUGGGCGAAAGCCUGACCCAGCGACGCCGCGUGAGGGAAGAAGGUCUUCGGAUUGUAAACCUUUGUUGACAGGGAAGAAGAAAGUGACGGUACCUGUCGAGGAAGCCACGGCUAACUACGUG